CCGGAGAUGGCGUAAGUGGCAGACGCAGCGGGCCCAGAACCCGUGGGCCAUCAGCAGUGGCCGUGGGAGUUCGACUCUCCCUCUCCGGACCA
This 92-nucleotide transfer RNA is filed under the name Candidatus Dormiibacterota bacterium. RNAcentral describes it as "tRNA-Leu". It matches the Rfam family "tRNA". Rfam says of the family: Transfer RNA (tRNA) molecules are approximately 80 nucleotides in length. Their secondary structure includes four short double-helical elements and three loops (D, anti-codon, and T loops). Lineage: Bacteria; Bacillati; Candidatus Dormiibacterota. The record is from RNAcentral.